UAGCCGUAAACGAUACUCGCUAGGUGUCGGCCACGGUGCGACCGUUGUCGGUGCCGUAGGGAAGCCGUGAAGCGAGCCACCUGGGAAGUACGGCCGCAAGGCUGAAACUUAAAGGAAUUGGCGGGGGGAGCACAACAACGGGUGGAGCCUGCGGUUUAAUCGGACUCAACGCCGGGAAUCUCACCGGAUAAGACAGCUGAAUGAUGGCCAGGUUGAUGACCUUGCUUGACAAGCUGAGAGGAGGUGCAUGGCGGUGUGACUGU
Molecule: ribosomal RNA, 263 nt
Filed under: uncultured archaeon
Lineage: Archaea
Description: partial 16S ribosomal RNA
Rfam family: Archaeal small subunit ribosomal RNA
Source: RNAcentral